ACGGGGGGUGCAAGCGUUGUUCGGAAUUAUUGGGCGUAAAGAGCGUGUAGGCGGCUGAAUAAGUCAGAUGUGAAAUCCCUGGGCUUAACUCAGGAAGUGCAUUUGAAACUAUUCAGCUCGAGUAGGGGAGAGGAAAGUGGAAUUCCUGGUGUAGAGGUGAAAUUCGUAGAUAUCAGGAGGGACACCGGUGGCGGUGGCGAGUAACUAGCCCUAUACUGACGAUGAGACGCGAGAGCGUGGUAUGAGGUCAA
This 251-nucleotide ribosomal RNA is filed under the name uncultured prokaryote. Its description in RNAcentral is "partial 16S rRNA". It matches the Rfam family "Bacterial small subunit ribosomal RNA", at positions 525 to 775 of the family's 1533-position model. The record is from RNAcentral.